UGAAUUAUCACAUUGUACCUCGUAAACAUGCUGAAUUAUUACGUGUCAGUGCAAAAAGAAAAGCUCACAGCCACCGUUGAUACAGGCACCAAAUCUCCUGCACUCACUGGCGAGGAAGUGAAGACCCAGAGAGGUGUAACAGAUGCCAACUGGAGCAGCUUCCUGGGCCCCAGGGAGUCCCCUUCUCUGGGAAUGACAUGGACACAGGACACAGAGCAGGCAUGGGCCUCUCCUGUACCAUCACUCCCUCUGGCCUCUGCUCUGUCUGAAGAGGACCUCAGGGCCCCUGGCAUCCUUGCUGACUUGAGACAUCCACUGGGAAACAGGCCUGGGGCUGAGGGCAAGUCACCCGGUUUGGCCAGGAGUGGGCUACAGGUGGCUUGGUCUUGAGGGAGGUCAGCUGGAGGUCCUAUUUUCAGCAAAAUGGAGAAGGGUACACAUGUUGGCAACAAGCGUCCAGAGGAAAUGGGGUGGACUCAUGCUGUAAUUCCCUGUGUGCACCAACUGGGUGUCCUAUAAUUGGACUUAACUCCAACAUUAUCCACCUGGAGUUCACACAGACCCCAAAGGUUAAGGGCUCAGUCCCUCAAGACUCCCCCCACUUCAGGUGCCAGUUGCACCUCAAGUCUCCCACAUGGGUGCAGGGGCCCAAGGACUUGGACCAUCUUCCGCUGCUUUCCCGGAUAUAUUAGUGGGGAACUGGACCAGAAGUGGAGCAGCCGGGACUGAACCAGCGCUAGUGUUGCAAGCAGCAUCUUAUGACUGUGCCACAUCGCCAGGGCCUGUGAUGGAUUCUUAACACAAUCUCCAAUCCUUUACCCACCUGCUGCUCCUCCCCAGGAGCCCACUGAAACAUCUCCUUAGAACAAAAGAGACUCACCUAAGGCAUGACAAGGGUUUUAGGAGUUCUGGCCAGGAACCAGGGACAAGAACCAAAAAAAAUAUAUUCCUUAUAUCACAACAUUACAUUCUGUGAAAACAUGUAUUUGAUGAGCUAAGCUGUAUUUUAUAUUAAAUAUGUAACCAUUGAAACAGACUAGCUUGCGUUGCAUCUCACCUAAAAUCAUCCGGCGGUUAUCAGUAGUAGCUGCUGCUCUGCUUGUUGGAGCGUUGGGGGUGGGAAAAGCAGCCAGAGUGCAGGCAGGUGCACGCCCCAGCUCCUCUUUGCCUGACAGAGGCCACACUUAGCCCUGUGCCUGGCACUCAGGGCGUGCUCGGGGUGACAUGGUGUGCACUGGGCAAGAAAACAGCACCGCAUUCUGAUCUGGGCUCACACACUGCCUGGCGCUUUAUUGUUUGUGCGAUUCAAGGGAAACUAAUUAGUCUUUCCAGUGGGGACACCAGCUACCUUACUGGGGUGUCAAGAGGCUAGCAACAGGGGAGCACAUACAGUACUGAGCACAGAGAAAGCCCUUAAUAGAUGCCAAUUUCCUUCCUCUCUCUCUCUCUCCUGUAUUUGUUGAAAUAAUUUGCACCACACAGCGAGGUGAUAUGGCCCCUCCUUUCCUAAAGGAAUUUGCAUUUAACCUCAAGGAUGACUCUAUCCUGGGACUAGAGGCAUCAGCAGUGCAGCUGAGAGGUGCGGAGGCGGAGCAGGCUCCCUCUUCUGGGGAGCAGUGUGUCUUUUCCCACGUGUGGGGCCGUGACUCCUCCUGGCUGGAGACGCAAGAGUUAAGAUUUGAAACUGCCUCCCUCUGGGGUUGCAAUCUCACUUCCUCCAGGGGCCAGGUAGGUAGUACAAUACGGCAGGAAAGAGAAUUGAGCCUUGAGUAUACGAAACCGUAGGAUGGUGCUUAUGGCAAAGUAGAAAGCGCUGAUAGAAUUCCAGUCCACAGGAAAGCAGCACCACCGUCGCACUGGCUACAUGAAACAGCUUUGACUGGGCUGGGAGCCUCUGGUUUAGAACCUCCUUCUGGCCGGCGCCGUGGCUCAAUAGGCUAAUCCUCCACCUAGCGGCGCCGGCACACCGGGUUCUAGUCCCGGUCGGGGCGCCGGAUUCUGUCCCGGUUGCCCCUCUUCCAGGCCAGCCCUCUGCUGUGGCCAGGGAGUGCAGUGGAGGAUGGCCCAGGUGCUUGGGCCCUGCACCCCAUGGGAGACCAGGAAAAGCACCUGGCUCCUGGCUCCUGCCAUCGGAUCAGCGCGGUGCGCCGGCCGCAGCGCGCCGGCCGCGGCGGCCAUUGGAGGGUGAACCAACGGCAAAGGAAGACCUUUCUCUCUGUCUCUCUCUCUCACUGUCCACUCUGCCUGUCAAACAAAAAAAAAAAAAAAAAAAGAACCUCCUUCUAGGGUUUCUCCGGGAGGGAAUAAUAGUCACAGUAUUUUGCCCCCAGAAGCUCUGGUUAUGGGAUGCCCGUCACUCCCCAUUAUAUUCCUGUCCAUCACCUCCAACUCUGGGUUGAGGGGCCCUGCUGUUGCUACUUCUGCCAGUCUUUUCCUACCUAGUGUAUAAACAAUCACUUGUGCAGACAGCACUGCGAUGUAGUAGGUUAAGCUUCCACCUGCAGCGCUGGCAUCCCAUAUGGGCACCGGUUCAAGACCCAGCUGCUCCAUUUCUGAUCCAGCUCUCUGCUGCGGCCUGGGAAAGCAGUAGAAGAUGGCCCGUCUUUGGGCCCCUGCACCCAUGUGGGAGACCCGGAAGAAGCUCCCGGCUCCUGGCUUUGGACUGGACCAGCUCCUGCUGUUGUGGCCAUCUGGGGAGUGAACCAGCAAAUGGAAGAUCUCUCUCAGUUUCUCCCUCUCUCCCUCUGUAAUCCUGCCUCUCAAAUAAAUAAAUAAAUCUUUUCUAAAGAUAAUUAUUU
Long non-coding RNA from Oryctolagus cuniculus (rabbit), 2798 nucleotides. NCBI's taxonomy places the organism in Eukaryota, Metazoa, Chordata, Mammalia, Lagomorpha, Leporidae. The record is from Ensembl.